This is a small nuclear RNA of Otolemur garnettii (small-eared galago), 107 nucleotides long. NCBI's taxonomy places the organism in Eukaryota, Metazoa, Chordata, Mammalia, Primates, Galagidae. The record is from Ensembl.
GUGCUUGCUUUGGCAGCACAUAUACUAAAAUUGGAACGAUACAGAGAAGAUUAGCAUGGCCCCUGUGCAAGGAUGACAUGCAAAUUCAUAAAGCAUUCCAUAUUUUU